RNAcentral lists this ribosomal RNA (497 nucleotides) under uncultured bacterium. RNAcentral describes it as "partial 16S ribosomal RNA". It matches the Rfam family "Bacterial small subunit ribosomal RNA", at positions 28 to 507 of the family's 1533-position model. The record is from RNAcentral.
GAUGAACGCUGGCGGCGUGCCUAAUACAUGCAAGUCGAGCGAACGGACGAGAAGCUUGCUUCUCUGAUGUUAGCGGCGGACGGGUGAGUAACACGUGGAUAACCUACCUAUAAGACUGGGAUAACUUCGGGAAACCGGAGCUAAUACCGGAUAAUAUUUUGAACCGCAUGGUUCAAAAGUGAAAGACGGUCUUGCUGUCACUUAUAGAUGGAUCCGCGCUGCAUUAGCUAGUUGGUAAGGUAACGGCUUACCAAGGCAACGAUGCAUAGCCGAACUGAGAGGGGGAUCGGCCACACUGGAACUGAGACGCGGUCCAGACGCCUACGGGAGGCAGCAGUAGGGAAUCUUCCGCAAUGGGCGAAAGCCUGACGGAGCAACGCCGCGUGAGUGAUGAAGGUCUUCGGAUCGUAAAACUCUGUUAUUAGGGAAGAACAUAUGUGUAAGUAACUGUGCACAUCGUGACGGUACCGAAUCAGAAAGCCACGGCUAACUACGUG